GCAACUCGACUCCAUGAAGCUGGAUUCGCUAGUAAUCGCGCAUCAGCCAUGGCGCGGUGAAUACGUUCCCGGGCCUUGUACACACCGCCCGUCAAGCCAUGGAAGCCGGGGGGUGCCUGAAGUGCGUGACCGCAAGGAGCGCCCUAAGGUAAAACCGGUGACUGGGGCUAAGUCGUAACAAGGUAAC
RNAcentral lists this ribosomal RNA (187 nucleotides) under uncultured bacterium. RNAcentral's name for it is "partial 16S ribosomal RNA". It matches the Rfam family "Bacterial small subunit ribosomal RNA", at positions 1307 to 1500 of the family's 1533-position model. The record is from RNAcentral.